Molecule: transfer RNA, 84 nt
Filed under: Myotis lucifugus (little brown bat)
Lineage: Eukaryota; Metazoa; Chordata; Mammalia; Chiroptera; Vespertilionidae
Rfam family: tRNA
About the family: Transfer RNA (tRNA) molecules are approximately 80 nucleotides in length. Their secondary structure includes four short double-helical elements and three loops (D, anti-codon, and T loops).
Source: Rfam by way of RNAcentral
GCCGGUUUGGCUCAGUGGAAAGAGCGUUGGCCUGCGGACCGAAGGGUUUGAUUCCAGUCAAGGGCUCAAUCCCCUUAGGGGGCA